RNAcentral lists this long non-coding RNA (598 nucleotides) under Helianthus annuus (common sunflower). Its description in RNAcentral is "hypothetical non coding rna". The record is from RNAcentral. Lineage: Eukaryota; Viridiplantae; Streptophyta; Magnoliopsida; Asterales; Asteraceae.
UUAUAUUCACCCUUCAUUUAUCAUCAAACAACUGAAUAACGUAUCAUACAAAAUCCAACGGUGGAUAUUAUUAAACAUGUAACAUGAUCAUCAAAGGCUCGAAGAGUUCCAGCUGGCGUCAACGGCGCCCAUGAUUUUGUCAUGCAGUGAGGCUCCGGCACAGGCGAUUAUUCCACGAUCUAGCCCUUGCAAAUACAUACCUUUAGAAAAAUCAAGUGGCCGGCCGCCAGCGUCCGUCACGAUGCCGCCGGCCUCUUCGAUGAUGACAACUCCGGCGGCAUGGUCCCAUAUCUUCUCUUUGUAACCAGCUCUUGCAAACUUCAUGAAAAUCUCUGCGUCUCCACGAGCGAUGGCUGCGUAUUUCACCAUACUGUAUACUCGUAACGUUACCUCAGCCCGACACUAUGAGCUAACCCUUGUGUGAACACGUGGCUCGAGUUUGCCUUCUCAACUGGUUCACAAAACGUAGCCAAAACAGGAUUAUCAAUAGUCGACACCCUAAUUUGCCUAGCCGACGCAACACCUUUAUCGCCACUUAACAACGGUUGCAUCCACGCCUUCUUGCUACCUUUCUUUGCGUAAAGCACACACCCGUUAC